UUUCCGUAGGUGAACCUGCGGAAGGAUCAUUACUGAAGACUGUCGCAAGACAGAUAUCCUUCAAACUCUCACUGUGUGGAAGGACGCGGGAUUUAGUUCUCGCGGACGGAAGCCAGUGUGAUUUUACCUUCUGGUAAAAAAAAGUCUGAUACAAUACAUAACAAACCAAAACUUUCAACAACGGAUCUCUUGGUUCUCGCAUCGAUGAAGAACGCAGC
RNAcentral lists this unclassified non-coding RNA (218 nucleotides) under uncultured fungus. RNAcentral describes it as "sequence contains ITS1, 5.8S rRNA gene". The stretch from base 170 to 218 matches the Rfam family "5.8S ribosomal RNA", at positions 1 to 49 of the family's 154-position model. Lineage: Eukaryota; Fungi. The record is from RNAcentral.